ACUAGACCAAUUAUAGUUAACACUUCAUAUCUUUGUACCCCUUGAUGUUCCCGAUGGGUAGAGAAACACAAGUGAUGUAUUUACUGUAAGAUCCCUUUUCUUAACAACUUAUCGUCCAACACACAACUCGGUUUCGGUACAGGUACAUCCCGCUCAAAACUAUCCCGCUCAACACUUAUGAUAUCCAAUACUCUCGAUCUCAAUCUGCUUAACCAAAGCAUCAUCACUAUCCUGAGCUCUGCGUAUCCUCCAUAAUAAAUCUGCCUGCUCCAAUGCUUCAAGACCACCAGUCUCUCCCUCUGCGGUAACUGCACACAAUCUGAGACUAGCAAGUGUCCCAGUCAGCUCCUGAACCUCCUUGGUUCCUGAAACAUCGUUCCUGCGUCUACUCAAGGCAUCUGCCACCUGAUUGGCAUUACCAGAUGGUAUGCAAUAUCCAAACUGUAGCCUGCUAUCAAUCCAACUACACUGUC
This 473-nucleotide long non-coding RNA is filed under the name Brassica napus (rape). RNAcentral describes it as "long non-coding RNA (BNAP_LNC023898)". Lineage: Eukaryota; Viridiplantae; Streptophyta; Magnoliopsida; Brassicales; Brassicaceae. The record is from RNAcentral.